UGACAGGUAAAAAGCUUUCAAAUCCUCAUUCCCAUGAUUGCAAGAAAUAUGCUGGGCAAUCUGAAAAUCAAUGACUUUUCUUGGAUUCAUUAGAGAACUGAGAUUGUAGGGCAAAUUACCAACCUGAAAUCCGGAGAAACGGCUCACAUUUGUAAAUCGAUGACUUGGAGGGUACCUGCCUAUGUCAACACUUCCCAGUUUUCCAUCCUACCAUGACCUGCAGCAAUGGGAUCAGGUUCACUGGUUUAAGUUGCUCUGCAGCCUGCCCUGUGGUCUGUCAAUUACAGGAAGUACAGGCAAAUCACUUCCAUCUGCUUUAUAUCUGUGUGAAUCAUAAGGACUGCUGGAAGGGCUCAGGAAUCUGGUGCAAAUGAGAAAACCCCAUCCGAGG
Molecule: long non-coding RNA, 391 nt
Organism: Manis javanica (Malayan pangolin)
Lineage: Eukaryota; Metazoa; Chordata; Mammalia; Pholidota; Manidae
Source: RefSeq, a predicted model, not a curated record